UUACACAUGCAGUCGAACGAAGGCUUCGGCCUUAGUGGCGCACGGGUGCGUAACGCGUGGGAAUCUGCCUUCAGGUACGGAAUAACUAGGGGAAACUCGAGCUAAUACCGUAUGAUAUCGAGAGAUCAAAGAUUUAUCGCCUGAAGAUGAGCCCGCGUUGGAUUAGCUAGUUGGUAAGGUAAGAGCUUACCAAGGCGACGAUCCAUAGCUGGUCUGAGAGGAUGAUCACCCACACUGGGACUGAGACACGGCCCACACUCCUACGGGAGGCAGCAGUGGGGAAUAUUGGACAAUGGGGGAAACCCUGAUCCACCAAUGCCGCGUGAGUGAAGAAGGCCUUAGGGUUGUAAAGCUCUUUUACCCGGGAUGAUAAUGACAGUACCGGGAGAAUAAGCUCCGGCUAACUCCGUGCCAGCAGCCGCGGUAAUACGGAGGGAGCUAGCGUUGUUCGGAAUUACUGGGCGUAAAGCGUACGUAGGCGGUUUAAUAAGUCAGGGGUGAAAGCCCAGAGCUCAACUCUGGAACUGCCUUUGAGACUGUUAGACUAGAACAUAGAA
Molecule: ribosomal RNA, 557 nt
Filed under: Zymomonas mobilis
Lineage: Bacteria; Pseudomonadati; Pseudomonadota; Alphaproteobacteria; Sphingomonadales; Zymomonadaceae
Description: bacterial SSU rRNA
Rfam family: Bacterial small subunit ribosomal RNA
Source: RNAcentral